Molecule: ribosomal RNA, 497 nt
Filed under: uncultured bacterium
Lineage: Bacteria
Description: partial 16S ribosomal RNA
Rfam family: Bacterial small subunit ribosomal RNA
Source: RNAcentral
GAUGAACGCUGGCGGCGUGCCUAAUACAUGCAAGUCGAGCGAACGGACGAGAAGCUUGCUUCUCUGAUGUUAGCGGCGGACGGGUGAGUAACACGUGGAUAACCUACCUAUAAGACUGGGAUAACUUCGGGAAACCGGAGCUAAUACCGGAUAAUAUUUUGAACCGCAUGGUUCAAAAGUGAAAGACGGUCUUGCUGUCACUUAUAGAUGGAUCCGCGCUGCAUUAGCUAGUUGGUAAGGUAACGGCUUACCAAGGCAACGAUGCAUAGCCGGCCUGAGAGGGUGAUCGGCGACACUGGAGCUGAGACACGGUCCAGACUACUACGGGAGGCAGCAGUAGGGAAUCUUCCGCAAUGGGCGAAAGCCUGACGGAGCAACGCCGCGUGAGUGAUGACGGUCUUCGGAUCGUAAAACUCUGUUAUUAGGGAAGAACAUAUGUGUAAGUAACUGUGCACAUCUUGACGGUACCUAAUCAGAAAGCCACGGCUAACUACGUG